UUGCCAUGUGUAUGUGGG
This 18-nucleotide unclassified non-coding RNA is filed under the name synthetic construct. The record is from RNAcentral.